Acanthopagrus latus (yellowfin seabream) is the source of this 818-nucleotide long non-coding RNA. RefSeq lists it as uncharacterized. The record is from RefSeq and is a predicted model, not a curated record. NCBI's taxonomy places the organism in Eukaryota, Metazoa, Chordata, Actinopteri, Spariformes, Sparidae. The transcript has 3 exons.
ACGUGAUGAGAGGUGAAGAUCUGGGUUCCUACACGCAGAACGGCGUACGGGUCUGACUUCCCGUCAAUUAAACCUUUGAUGACUGUAUCCUUGGCAGUCAGGUCCUCGGCCUCCAGCAGGUGGAUGCGCACGACUCCCUGGCCAUUCAUUAUUGAGACAGUUACCCUUGGGAGAGGGGAGCGGAGCUGCGCAACGUGCAGGUCGGCCACCAGGGGAACAGUGAGACGGUUGGGGAGCACCAGAUAAUCGGCUCUGAUGGAGCGACUGCUGCACCGGGAGCCGGGUCACUAAAAGUGCACACAAGCGCACUUUAUCUUCAUAGCAAAUGUGAGGCAUCGGAGCUGCUGGAGGAGUCACUCAAGGGAAACACAAACACCUUAUCAUCAAAUCAUUGUUGUUUCCUUUGCAUGGCUUAAAGUUCAGCUGCACAGAACAGAGCAGUAAAGGAGCUGCAUGUCGCAACUGAUGACUCCUUAAAAUUGAUGAGCUCCUAAUGCAGAAAUACACAUCCGCACAUGUUGGGCAACAAAUCAAUAUUACAUUGUUACUGUGAUAUGACACUGUAUAUCGUCUUAGAUUUUGGACGUCAUUCUGUCACGAGGUGGCGUAAGUUUUGUCUUCUCCUGGUUUUAAAAGGCUGCUUUAGAGGAAAGUGAUGUAAUUUUCUGAACUUACCAAACUGUUCUACUUGUUCUAAUACUUGUGUUUACCCACUUAGUCAUUAUAUCCACACUACUGGUGAUUAUUUAUAAUAAAACUCAAUGUGUACUGUGACAUGAUUUUGUCGUUGUCUCUGCAGUAUUUUACAAACGCACAAA